Long non-coding RNA from Hyalella azteca, 191 nucleotides. RefSeq lists it as uncharacterized. NCBI's taxonomy places the organism in Eukaryota, Metazoa, Arthropoda, Malacostraca, Amphipoda, Hyalellidae. The record is from RefSeq and is a predicted model, not a curated record. The transcript is spliced from 2 exons.
UUUAUGUUAAAUCAUACCAUAAAAAAUAUUGUGAAAUUUCUUAAGAACGACAGCGGAGAACCAUUUGCCAAGCGCGCACUAGCUAUAUAGUCAUUUUCCUGAACGACGCGUGGGGUGAACAUCUAAAUCUAAGGGGGUGUUGGUCGGUCGGCGUCUUCGUUCUUCAACACCAAUAAACUAUCUGAGCCUCA